Molecule: ribosomal RNA, 254 nt
Filed under: uncultured bacterium
Lineage: Bacteria
Description: partial 16S ribosomal RNA
Rfam family: Bacterial small subunit ribosomal RNA
Source: RNAcentral
UACGUAGGGGGCAAGCGUUGUCCGGAUUCAUUGGGCGUAAAGAGCUUGUAGGCGGUUCGGCAAGUCGGGUGUGAAAACUCCAGGCUCAACCUGGGGACGCCACCCGAUACUGCUGUGACUUGAGUCCGGUAGGGGACCACGGAAUUCCUGGUGUAGCGGUGAAAUGCGCAGAUAUCAGGAAGAACACCAACGGCGAAGGCAGCUCGCUGGGACGGUACUGACGCUGAGACGCGAAAGCGUGGGGAGCGAACAGG